This 425-nucleotide ribosomal RNA is filed under the name uncultured bacterium. Its description in RNAcentral is "partial 16S ribosomal RNA". It matches the Rfam family "Bacterial small subunit ribosomal RNA", at positions 354 to 796 of the family's 1533-position model. The record is from RNAcentral.
GUGGGGAAUAUUGGACAAUGGGCGCAAGCCUGAUCCAGCCAUGCCGCGUGAGUGAUGAAGGCCUUAGGGUUGUAAAGCUCUUUCAGUGGGGACGAUAAUGACGGUACCCACAGAAGAAGCCCCGGCUAACUUCGUGCCAGCAGCCGCGGUAAUACGAGGGGGGCUAGCGUUGUUCGGAUUUACUGGGCGUAAAGCGCACGUAGGCGGCUCGUUAAGUCGGGGGUGAAAUCCUGGAGCGCAACUCCAGAAGUGACUUGGAUACUGGAGAUCUUGAGUACGGAAGAGGUGAGUGGAACUCCUAGUGUAGAGGUGGAAUUCGUAGAUAUUAGGAAGAACACCAGUGGCGAAGGCGGCUCGCUGGUCCGGUACUGACGCUGAGGUGCGAAAGCGUGGGGAGCAAACAGGAUUAGAAACCCUAGUAGUCC